CCUACGGGAGGCAGCAGUGGGGAAUAUUGGACAAUGGGCGCAAGCCUGAUCCAGCCAUCCCGCGUGAAGGAUGACGGUCCUAUGGAUUGUAAACUUCUUUUAUACAGGGAUAAACCUCUCCUCGUGAGGAGAGCUGAAGGUACUGUAUGAAUAAGCACCGGCUAACUCCGUGCCAGCAGCCGCGGUAAUA
This 190-nucleotide ribosomal RNA is filed under the name uncultured bacterium. Its description in RNAcentral is "partial 16S ribosomal RNA". It matches the Rfam family "Bacterial small subunit ribosomal RNA", at positions 338 to 525 of the family's 1533-position model. The record is from RNAcentral.